Molecule: ribosomal RNA, 467 nt
Filed under: uncultured organism
Description: partial 16S ribosomal RNA
Rfam family: Bacterial small subunit ribosomal RNA
Source: RNAcentral
CACUCCUGCGGGAGGCAGCAGUGAGGAAUAUUGGACAAUGGGUGGAAGCCUGAUCCAGCCAUCCCGCGUGCAGGAAGACGGCCCUAUGGGUUGUAAACUGCUUUUAUCUGGGGAUAAACCUACUUACGUGUAAGUAGCUGAAGGUACCAGAAGAAUAAGCACCGGCUAACUCCGUGCCAGCAGCCGCGGUAAUACGGAGGGUGCAAGCGUUAUCCGGAUUUAUUGGGUUUAAAGGGUCCGUAGGCGGACUGAUAAGUCAGUGGUGAAAUCCGACAGCUUAACUGUCGAACUGCCAUUGAUACUGUUAGUCUUGAGUAAGGUUGAAGUGGCUGGAAUAAGUAGUGUAGCGGUGAAAUGCAUAGAUAUUACUUAGAACACCAAUUGCGAAGGCAGGUCACUAAGUCUUAACUGACGCUGAUGGACGAAAGCGUGGGGAGCGAACAGGAUUAGAAACCCGAGUAGUCCCA